Molecule: ribosomal RNA, 876 nt
Filed under: Wolbachia endosymbiont of Icosta sp. 4 ES-2018
Lineage: Bacteria; Pseudomonadati; Pseudomonadota; Alphaproteobacteria; Rickettsiales; Anaplasmataceae
Description: bacterial SSU rRNA
Rfam family: Bacterial small subunit ribosomal RNA
Source: RNAcentral
UAUGGUAUAACUUAGUGGCAGACGGGUGAGUAAUGUAUAGGRAUCUACCUAGUAGUACGGAAUAAUUGUUGGAAACGGCAACUAAUACCGUAUACGCCCUACGGGGGAAAAAUUUAUUGCUAUUAGAUGAGCCUAUAUUAGAUUAGCUAGUUGGUGGAGUAAUAGCCUACCAAGGCAAUGAUCUAUAGCUGAUCUGAGAGGAUGAUCAGCCACACUGGAACUGAGAUACGGUCCAGACUCCUACGGGAGGCAGCAGUGGGGAAUAUUGGACAAUGGGCGAAAGCCUGAUCCAGCCAUGCCGCAUGAGUGAAGAAGGCCUUUGGGUUGUAAAGCUCUUUUAGUGAGGAAGAUAAUGACGGUACUCACAGAAGAAGUCCUGGCUAACUCCGUGCCAGCAGCCGCGGUAAUACGGAGAGGGCUAGCGUUAUUCGGAAUUAUUGGGCGUAAAGGGCGCGUAGGCGGAUUAGUAAGUUAAAAGUGAAAUCCCAAGGCUCAACCUUGGAAUUGCUUUUAAAACUGCUAAUCUAGAGAUUGAAAGAGGAUAGAGGAAUUCCUAGUGUAGAGGUGAAAUUCGUAAAUAUUAGGAGGAACACCAGUGGCGAAGGCGUCUAUCUGGUUCAAAUCUGACGCUGAGGCGCGAAGGCGUGGGGAGCAAACAGGAUUAGAUACCCUGGUAGUCCACGCUGUAAACGAUGAAUGUUAAAUAUGGGAAGUUUUACUUUCUGUAUUACAGCUAACGCGUUAAACAUUCCGCCUGGGGACUACGGUCGCAAGAUUAAAACUCAAAGGAAUUGACGGGGACCCGCACAAGCGGUGGAGCAUGUGGUUUAAUUCGAUGCAACGCGAAAAACCUUACCACUCCUUGACAUGAAAAUC